RNAcentral lists this ribosomal RNA (465 nucleotides) under uncultured bacterium. RNAcentral's name for it is "partial 16S ribosomal RNA". It matches the Rfam family "Bacterial small subunit ribosomal RNA", at positions 338 to 795 of the family's 1533-position model. The record is from RNAcentral.
CCUACGGGCGGCAGCAGUGGGGAAUAUUGCGCAAUGGGCGAAAGCCUGACGCAGCGACGCCGCGUGAGGGAUGAAGGUCUUCGGAUCGUAAACCUCUGUCAGCAGGGAAGAACGGUCACUGUGCUAAUCAGCAGUGAAUUGACGGUACCGGCAAAGGAAGCACCGGCUAACUCCGUGCCAGCAGCCGCGGUAAUACGGAGGGUGCGAGCGUUAAUCGGAAUUACGGGGCGUAAAGCGCUCGUAGGCGGUAUGUCAAGUCAAGGGUGCCAUCCCCGCGCUCACCGUGGGAACUGCCUUUGAAACUGGCAAACUGGGGUGUGUGAGAGGAUAGUGGGCUUCCAGGUGUAGGAGUGAAAUCCGUAGAUAUCUGGAGGAACAUCAGUGGCGCAGGCGACUAUCUGGACCAUAACUGACGCUGGGGAGCGAACGCGUGGGUAGCAAACAGGAUUAGAUACCCGUGUAGUC